UACGUAGGUGGCAAGCGUUGUUCGGAAUUAUUGGGCGUAAAGAGCUCGUAGGCGGUGUGUCACGUCGGCCGUGAAAACCUGCAGCUUAACUGUGGGCGUGCGGUCGAUACGGGCAUCACUGGAGUUCGGCAGGGGAGACUGGAAUUCCUGGUGUAGCGGUGAAAUGCGUAGAUAUCUGGAGGAACACCGGUGGCGAAGGCGACAUCCUGGACCGGAAUUGACGCUGAGGCGCGAAAGCCAGGGGAGCAAACGGG
Molecule: ribosomal RNA, 254 nt
Filed under: uncultured bacterium
Lineage: Bacteria
Description: partial 16S ribosomal RNA
Rfam family: Bacterial small subunit ribosomal RNA
Source: RNAcentral